UAUCAAAUGCUUCGGUUAACUAAUCAACCCGAGCAUUUGUGAAAAUUUUAAUUUAAAAAUUCACAAAUGCUUGGGUUGAUUAGUCAACCGGAGCAUUUGAU
This 101-nucleotide microRNA precursor is filed under the name Beta vulgaris subsp. vulgaris (sugar beet). RNAcentral's name for it is "pre miRNA MIR162_2". The record is from RNAcentral. Lineage: Eukaryota; Viridiplantae; Streptophyta; Magnoliopsida; Caryophyllales; Amaranthaceae.